AUUCGGUUCGCUAAUCGAAAAUAGGGUCUCGGCUCAUUU
This 39-nucleotide ribosomal RNA is filed under the name Pseudopaucispora brunneospora. Its description in RNAcentral is "partial 18S ribosomal RNA". Lineage: Eukaryota; Fungi; Ascomycota; Dothideomycetes; Pleosporales; Lophiostomataceae. The record is from RNAcentral.